This 46-nucleotide non-coding RNA is filed under the name Trichobilharzia regenti. Lineage: Eukaryota; Metazoa; Platyhelminthes; Trematoda; Strigeidida; Schistosomatidae. The record is from RNAcentral.
GUACUGAUGAAGAGUCCCAAACUAGGACGAAACAACCUUCCCGUAC